GAUGAACGAUGGCGGCGUGCCUAAUACAUGCAAGUCGAGCGAACGGACGAGAAGCUUGCUUCUCUGAUGUUAGCGGCGGACGUGUGAGUAACACGUGGAUAACCUACCUAUAAGACUGGGAUAACUUCGGGAAACCGGAGCUAAUACCGGAUAAUAUUUUGAACCGCAUUGUUCAAAAGUGAAAGACGGUCUUGCUGUCACUUAUAGAUGGAUCCGCGCUGCAUUAGCUAGUUGGUAAGGUAACGGCUUACCCAGGCAACGAUGCAUAGCCGACCUGAGAGGGGGAUCGGCCACACUGGAACUGAGACCCGGUCCAGACUCCUACGGGAGGCAGCAGUAGGGAAUCGUCCGCAAUGGGCGAAAGCCUGACGGAGCAACGCCGCGUGUGUGAUGAAGGUCUUCGGAUCGUAAAGCUCUGUUAUUAGGGAAGAACAUAUGUGUAAGUAACUGUGCACAUCUUGACGGUACCUAAUCAGAAAGCCACGGCUAACUACGU
This 496-nucleotide ribosomal RNA is filed under the name uncultured bacterium. RNAcentral describes it as "partial 16S ribosomal RNA". It matches the Rfam family "Bacterial small subunit ribosomal RNA", at positions 28 to 506 of the family's 1533-position model. The record is from RNAcentral.